UGCCUCAGUACAGGCUGAAGCCAUGUUAUACUUUUCUCUAAUUGCUUUUCUUCUUUUUCAACCCUCACUUCCUCCCUUGAGACCCUGUCGACUGACUGAGCUGGUUUGCUCACUUCUGGAGACUGAGAGGAAACGCGAUAGGAGAUUCUCAACCACCAUCCCAGCUACCUGUGCUAAGGUCCCCCAAGUACACCAGAGUCGGACCUGGAGCAGAGGGACGCCAAUGAAAAUCACGUGAGAAUGUACUGAGAACCCAGAGGUAUGGACUUGCAAUAAACUCAUCUGCCUCAUCUGGAUUUGAUCUCUCAGGGGCAAAUGUUAGUCUUGGAAACUCACGGAGAGAAACUGACAAUACCAAAGAAUCAAUGCCAAAACAAGACACGGAAGAUCUGGAGGAAGCAGCCUCAGAGAGUUCAUUUACCUGAAGCUCUGUGUACACAGCAGAGGAGCAUCCCUCCCUGCAAUGGCAGCCAUCAGAAACCCACAUCGCCAUCAAGGACACACGUCAUCACU
This is a long non-coding RNA of Mus musculus (house mouse), 513 nucleotides long. RefSeq annotates it as predicted gene, 36926. Lineage: Eukaryota; Metazoa; Chordata; Mammalia; Rodentia; Muridae. The record is from RefSeq and is a predicted model, not a curated record. The transcript has 3 exons.